Molecule: ribosomal RNA, 464 nt
Filed under: uncultured bacterium
Lineage: Bacteria
Description: partial 16S ribosomal RNA
Rfam family: Bacterial small subunit ribosomal RNA
Source: RNAcentral
CUACGGGAGGCAGCAGUGGGGAAUAUUGGACAAUGGGGGAAACCCUGAUCCAGCAAUGCCGCGUGUGUGAAGAAGGCCUGCGGGUUGUAAAGCACUUUCGGUUGGGAGGACUGCUUCUAGCACUAAUAUUGUUGGAAGUUGACGUUACCUUCAGAAGAAGCACCGGCUAACUCCGUGCCAGCAGCCGCGGUAAUACGGAGGUGCAGGCGUUAAUCGGAAUUACUGGGCGUAAAGCGCGCGUAGGGGGCUAGUUCAGUCGGGUGUGAAAGCCCCGGGCUUAACCUGGGAACUGCAUCCGAUACUGGAUAGAUUGAGUACAGGAGAGGAGAGUGGAAUUCCACAUGUAGCGGUGAAAUGCGUAGAUAUGUGGAGGAACACCAAUGGCGAAGGCAGCUCUCUGGCCUGAUACUGACGCUGAGGUGCGAAAGCGUGGGGAGCAAACAGGAUUAGAUACCCCAGUAGUC